AGGAAUUGGCGGGGGAGCACCACAACGCGUGGAGCCUGCGGUUUAAUUGGAUUCAACGCCGGACAUCUCACCAGAGGCGACAGCUGUAUGAUAGCCAGGUUGAUGACUUUGCUUGACUAGCUGAGAGGAGGUGCAUGGCCGCCGUCAGCUCGUACCGUGAGGCGUCCUGUUAAGUCAGGCAACGAGCGAGACCCACGCCCUUAGUUACCAGCUUAUCCUUUUUUGGAUGAUGGGCACACUAAGGGGACCGCCUAUGAUAAAUAGGAGGAAGGAGUGGACGACAGUAGGUCCGUAUGCCCCGAAUCCUCUGGGCAACACGCGGGCUACAAUGGCUGAGACAAUGGGUUCCGACACCGAAAGGUGGAGGUAAUCCUCUAAACUUAGUCGUAGUUCGGAUUGAGGACUGUAACUCGUUCUCAUGAAGCUGGAAUGCGUAGUAAUCGCGUGUCACAAUCGCGCGGUGAAUACGUCCCUGCUCCUUGCACACACCGC
RNAcentral lists this ribosomal RNA (492 nucleotides) under uncultured archaeon. RNAcentral's name for it is "bacterial SSU rRNA". It matches the Rfam family "Archaeal small subunit ribosomal RNA", at positions 860 to 1349 of the family's 1478-position model. The record is from RNAcentral.